GUGUCAGAAUGUUAUAUAAGAACUGAAGGAGACAGACAGAGUCCAAAGUGAGCUGCAUUAUCACUGGUAGUAACCACAGUUCAACCAUGGAAUAUUGCAUCAGAGUAUUCAUACUAGUUGCUUAUUUCAGUGUGUGCUCUGCAAAGGGGGACUUCAUUACUCAACCUGAAGAUGAGACGGGUCUGGAGGGCAGCAUGGUGACACUCAGCUGCCAGUAUGAGACCACUGCAUUAGCAUCUCAACAGUAUCUUUUCUGGUACCAGCAGAAACCAAACGGAUUCCCAAAAUAUAUUCUACAGAAACCAGCUUUAGGACAAGACAAUGGCCCAGAUUUUAAGAGGAGAUUCAAUGCUACACUCAACACAGACACAAAAGCUGUUAAUCUGACGAUCCAGGAUCUGCAAGUCUCUGACUCUGCUGUGUACUACUGUGCUCUGCAGCCCACAAAUGAUCCACUUAAGGUAUUCCUGAGUAGCCCCACCUCAGCAGCUCAGCUGAUGCUUGAUUUGAUGCAUCAGCCACUUCUGCAGGAGGAGGAGCUGACAGGAUGUGUUCUGAAAAACUUUCCCACCCAGAUGAGAAUGUAA
Molecule: non-coding RNA, 587 nt
Organism: Alosa sapidissima (American shad)
Lineage: Eukaryota; Metazoa; Chordata; Actinopteri; Clupeiformes; Clupeidae
Source: the annotation of a RefSeq genome assembly